UCCUUAGUACGAGAGGACCGGGAUGGACAUACCUCUGGUGUACCAGUUGUCGUGCCAACGGCAUAGCUGGGUAGCUAUGUAUGGACGGGAUAAGUGCUGAAAGCAUCUAAGCAUGAAGCCCCCCUCAAGAUGAGAUUUCCCAACUUCGGUUAUAAGAUCCCUCAAAGAUGAUGAGGUUAAUAGGUUCGAGGUGGAAGCGUAGCGAUACGUGGAGCUGACGAAUACUAAUCGAUCGAAGACUUAAUCAAUUU
Molecule: ribosomal RNA, 251 nt
Filed under: Staphylococcus agnetis
Lineage: Bacteria; Bacillati; Bacillota; Bacilli; Caryophanales; Staphylococcaceae
Description: partial 23S ribosomal RNA
Rfam family: Bacterial large subunit ribosomal RNA
Source: RNAcentral